AAUGAUAGAGGUUGCGCACUUCAUCAGUACAUGGCAGGAUGUGUUCAGGCACAGGCGAAUGCCGUGAAAAGGGGAGAGCGCCGAAAGAUUACAGCACCUGAAGCCGUAUUCUUGGGCAUAGGCUGAAGAAGCAUAUGACUGUCAUCGGAUUUCGAUGGAGGGCUAUCUU
RNAcentral lists this non-coding RNA (169 nucleotides) under human gut metagenome. RNAcentral's name for it is "Lysine riboswitch". It matches the Rfam family "Lysine riboswitch aptamer". From Rfam's summary of the family: Riboswitches are metabolite binding domains within certain messenger RNAs that serve as precision sensors for their corresponding targets. Allosteric rearrangement of mRNA structure is mediated by ligand binding, and this results in modulation of gene expression. This family includes riboswitches that sense lysine in a number of genes involved in lysine metabolism, including lysC. RNAcentral also lists the same sequence under 1 other name. The record is from RNAcentral.